Cricetulus griseus (Chinese hamster) is the source of this 332-nucleotide non-coding RNA. The record is from RefSeq and is a predicted model, not a curated record. Lineage: Eukaryota; Metazoa; Chordata; Mammalia; Rodentia; Cricetidae.
GACAGUUACAAUUGAAUUUUUGAAUCAGGCGCCCAAGGGCCGACUUUUUACAACUACGCGUGCGCGCCACGUGAAGGUGCCACGCCCCCUCGUCUGGGGGUUUGUAUUCCUGUCACCGUGGGUAGAUUGCGUGGUUCAAGGCAUGGUUUAGCAGAGAACACAAAUUCAGUUUCCAGCACCCUCCUGGAGGUCCACGGUCAUCCUGUGGGCCCAGCUCCAGGACAUCCGACUCCUUCCCCUGCUUCCAUGGGCACCUGCGUGCUUGUGGUGAGCAGACGUACACUCAGGCACGCACGAUGAUACUCAAAAACAUUAAAAGUAAAACCUUGGAA